CCUCGUCAGGACCUGGCUCUGCCCUCAGAGUCAGGCUGGAUCCAGGAGUGAUUCAUCUUACACAGAUGAGAGGGGGAUAGGAAGAAAAGAACAGUCAGGACAAAUGUGUUUUCGAUGGUGCUUAGCAGCAGGGAGACCAUUGAGACUUCAGAGCAAUGCUACUGGAGUGUGACAUCAUAAUACGCUACACACCAAGGUCUCCCUCCCACCUCUUCAGAGUUUAUGGGCCAAUUUCUCCCAAGAUGUGUGAGCUCGUUUUGCGGGUGGACUCCAGGGCUGCUGGCUGGCCAGGCCAGAGAGUGGCAGCGACUGGAUGUCUGGAAACCCCAGUGGAUUGUGAAAUGAACGAGGCUCUCUGCGCCCCCGAUCAGGCCCCUUUGAGCCCUGGGCUCCGGGAGCGAGCAUCUCCCAGCUCCUAAAGAGCUGACAUAUAUCCUGCCUUUAAGACAAGACUACAAUUGCAAAUCCGAGAAUAUAAAUUACACUUUCAUCUUU
This is a long non-coding RNA of Myotis lucifugus (little brown bat), 495 nucleotides long. RefSeq lists it as uncharacterized. The transcript has 2 exons. The record is from RefSeq and is a predicted model, not a curated record. NCBI's taxonomy places the organism in Eukaryota, Metazoa, Chordata, Mammalia, Chiroptera, Vespertilionidae.